CCUACGGGAGGCAGCAGUGGGGAAUAUUGGGCAAUGGGCGCAAGCCUGACCCAGCAACGCCGCGUGAAGGAAGAAGGCUUUCGGGUUGUAAACUUCUUUUCUGAGGGACGAAGAAAGUGACGGUACCUCAGGAAUAAGCCACGGCUAACUGCGUGCCAGCAGCCGCUGUAAUUCGUAGGUGGCAAGCGUUAUCCGGAUUUAUUGGGUGUAAAGGGCGUGUAGGCGGGAAAGCAAGUCAGAUGUGAAAACUCAGGGCUCAACCCUUAGCCUGCAUUUGAAACUGUUUUUAUUGAGUGCUGGAGAGGCAAUCGGAAUUCCGGGUGUAGCGGUGAAAUGCGUAGAUAUACGGAGGAACACCAGUGGCGAAGGCGGAUUGCUGGACAGUAACUGACGCUGAGGCGCGAAAGCGUGGGGAGCAAACAGGAUUAGAUACCCGAGUAGUC
This 443-nucleotide ribosomal RNA is filed under the name uncultured bacterium. RNAcentral's name for it is "partial 16S ribosomal RNA". It matches the Rfam family "Bacterial small subunit ribosomal RNA", at positions 338 to 795 of the family's 1533-position model. The record is from RNAcentral.